GCGGGAGUAGUUCAAUUGGCUAGAAUAUCAGCCUUCCAAGCUGAGUGUUGCGGGUUCGAGUCCCGUCUCCCGCUCCA
This 77-nucleotide transfer RNA is filed under the name Pseudobdellovibrionaceae bacterium. RNAcentral's name for it is "Bdellovibrionaceae bacterium tRNA-Gly". It matches the Rfam family "tRNA". Rfam says of the family: Transfer RNA (tRNA) molecules are approximately 80 nucleotides in length. Their secondary structure includes four short double-helical elements and three loops (D, anti-codon, and T loops). Further hydrogen bonds mediate the characteristic L-shaped molecular structure. tRNAs have two regions of fundamental functional importance: the anti-codon, which is responsible for specific mRNA codon recognition, and the 3' end, to which the tRNAs corresponding amino acid is attached (by aminoacyl-tRNA synthetases). tRNAs cope with the degeneracy of the genetic code in two manners: having more than one tRNA (with a specific anti-codon) for a particular amino acid; and 'wobble' base-pairing, i.e. permitting non-standard base-pairing at the 3rd anti-codon position. The record is from RNAcentral. RNAcentral also lists the same sequence under 1 other name. Lineage: Bacteria; Pseudomonadati; Bdellovibrionota; Bdellovibrionia; Bdellovibrionales; Pseudobdellovibrionaceae.